CAGUAGACGGCUCGAAGCCGCUCGGUGGAUGGCUCGGCUCGGGCGCCGAGGAAGGCCGUGGCAAGCGGCGAUACGCCCCGGGUAGCCGCAGGCAGGCUUUGAUCCGGGGAUCGCCGAAUGGGACCUCCUGCUACGGGCGAAAAGCCCGUAGCGCUCGGGAAACCCUCUUGGGGAGUACCGAGCGGGAACCCCCCCAACGGAAACAUCUUAGUAGGGGGAGGAGAAGAAACCAACUGGGAUCCCCUGAGUAGGGGCGACCGAAAGGGGGAGAGCCCAAACCGAACUCCCAGGCGAGGAGCCUGGGCGGAUGUGGUGUUGCAGGGCCCCGCGCCCUCCCGGUCUCGGGUAGCCGAAGUGGGCUGGAAAGCCCCGCCGCAGAGGGUGACAGCCCCGUAGGCGAAACCCGAGGGGGAGACGGCGGGUGUCCCUGAGUACCACGGCUUGGUUUUGCCGUGGGAAGCUGGGGGGCACCGACCUCCAAGGCUAAAUACGUCCCGAGACCGAUAGCGAACUAAGUACCGUGAGGGAAAGCUGAAAAGUACCCCGGAAGGGGGGUGAAAAGAGCCUGAAACCGAGCGGCUACAGGUGGCGUGGCCCGAAAGGGUCGAUCCUCCCUGAAGGAAACCCGGGCGACCGGGGAGUACGAGGGGAGGGGACCGGGGUCACGCCUUACGUCUAGAAACACGGGCCGGGGAGUUCACGGCUGUGGCGAGCCUAAGGGGCUCUAACCCCGAAGGCGUAGGGAAACCGACAUGCCCGUAGCCGGUCGCAAGACCGGUGUGGGGCGGGGUCUGAAAGGGCCCGGAGUCACAGCCGUGAGACCAGAAACCGAGCGAUCUAGGCCGGGGCAGGGUGAAGCCCGGCGAAAGCCGGGUGGAGGCCCGCAGGGGUUCUGACGUGCAAUUCGUUCCUCUGACCUCGGCCUAGGGGCAAAAGACCAAUCAAGCUCGGUGAUAGCUGGUUCCCCCCAAAGCGGGUCCCAGCCCGGCCCGCCCGGAGGUGGCCGAUCGGGUAGGGCACCGAUUGGGGGUUUAGGGGCCGAAAGGCCCCGGCUCCCUUUCGAACCCCGAACCGGUCGGCACCGUAGAAGGGCGGAGACGGGUUCUGGCGGAUAAGCCGCCAGGCCGAGAGGGGAACAACCCAGACCGGGGUUAAGGCCCCCAAGUGCCGGCUAAAGUGUCAAGCCAGAAGGGUGUCCCCCGCCUUAGACAGCGGGGCCGUAGGCUUAGAAGCAGCCAUCGGCUAAGAAGUGCGUAACAGCUUACCCGCCGAGGCGGGGGGCCCCGAAGAUUAGCGGGACUAAGCCGGCCGCCGAGACCCCGGGGCACCCCGCAUUGCGGGGUGAUCCGGUAGGGGGGCGUCCGGGUGGACUAGAAGCCGGGCCGUGAGGUCCGGUGGAUCCGCUCGGAAUGAAAAUCCCGGCGGUAGUAAGAGCGCAAGAGGGGUGAGAAUCCCCUCCGCCGAAAGGGCAAGGGUUCCUCAGCAACGGUCGUCGGCUGAGGGUUAGCCGGUCCUAAGGUGGCCCUUAACCUGGUGCCACCGAAAGGGAAAGGGGUUAAUAUUCCCCUGCCGUGGGGGUACGCUUCGCGGCAACGCAAGGCCCCGCUCCUGACGCCUCGGGAUAGGGGAGUAGGGCCGCCGCCCUAUCCAAGCGCUGAAGCCCGCGGAGUGCCGUCAUGGCGAGAAGCGGGUGAAGGCGCGAUGGGCCUGCCGUUAGGCAGGUUCCCCCGACUCCUGGGGCCCGUGAAAAGGGAGCGGGGAAGGACCCCCCACGACCGUACCGAGAACCGACACAGGUGCCCCUGGGUGAGAAGCCCAAGGCGUGGCGGGGUAACCCGGGCUAGGGAACUCGGCAAAUUGGCCCCGUAACUUCGGGAGAAGGGGUGCCUGCGGUCUUGGGGCACACCCCUGGGACCGCAGGUCGCAGUGACAAGGGGGACCCGACUGUUUAAUAAAAACAUAGGUCCCCGCGAGCCCGAAAGGGUGAGUACGGGGGCUGAAUCCUGGCCACUGGCGGUACGUGAAACCCGGGUACAACCGGGCGAAGCGCCGCUGAAGGCCGGGAGUAACUCUGACUCUCUUAAGGUAGCCAAAUGCCUUGCCGGGUAAGUUCCGGCGCGCAUGAAUGGAUCAACGAGGUCCCCACUGUCCCAGCCCGGGACCCGCUGAACCCGCAACCAGGUGCAGAGUCCUGGGAGUCCCGGUGGGGCGAGAAGACCCCGUGGAGCUUCACAGCAGCCUGGCGUUGGGAUACGGCUGCGGGUGCGUAGCGUAGGCGGGAGCGAUGAAACCAGUCCUCCGGGGCUGGUGGAUGCGACCAUGAAACACCGCUCACCCGUGGCUGUAUCCCUAACCCUGGGGCAAUCCUGGGGGACAGCGCCAGGUGGGCUGUUCGGCUGGGGCGGCACACCCCUGAAAAGGUAUCAGGGGUGCCCAAAGCUCGGCUCAGGCGGGUCAGAACUCCGCCGUAGAGGGCAAGGCCAAAAGCCGGGCUGACUGCGCCCUUAAACGCAUGGGGCGCAGGCGGGAAACCGGGGCCUAGCGAACGCUCGUGCCCCCUUCGGUGGGGGCCGGGCAUGACAGAAAAGUUACCCCGGGAAUAACCGGCUCGUCGCGGGCGAGAGUUCACAUCGACCCCGCGGUUUGGUACCCAGACGUCGUCUCUUCCUAGCUUGGCCCUGCAGCAGGGGCCAAGAGUGGGGCUGCUCGCCCAUUAAAAGGGAACGUGAGAUGGGUUUAGACCGUCGCGAGACAGGUCGGACUCUACCUGCCGGGACCGUUGGCCGCCUGAGGGGAUGGUCCGCUCAGUACGAGAGGAACGGCGGGCCGCGGCCUCUAGUCUACCGGUUGUCCGGCAGGGCACUGCCGGGCAGCCACGCCGCAAGGGGUAACCGCUGAAGGCAUCUAAGCGGGAAACCCACCCCGAGACGAGGCGGCCGCUCUCGGCCGCAUGGGGCCUCGGCGACGAGGCUCCUGGCCGAGACGAGGGCACCCGUAGAAGACGGGGUUGAUGGGGUGGCGGUGUAUGCACCGAGGGCUCUGCCCGAGGUGCGAGCCGGCCACUCCCAAUAGCCCGAGGCUGUCUACUG
RNAcentral lists this ribosomal RNA (3089 nucleotides) under Infirmifilum sp. NZ. RNAcentral's name for it is "23S ribosomal RNA". It matches the Rfam family "Archaeal large subunit ribosomal RNA". Lineage: Archaea; Thermoproteati; Thermoproteota; Thermoprotei; Thermofilales; Thermofilaceae. The record is from RNAcentral.